This 240-nucleotide ribosomal RNA is filed under the name uncultured bacterium. RNAcentral's name for it is "partial 16S ribosomal RNA". It matches the Rfam family "Bacterial small subunit ribosomal RNA", at positions 524 to 760 of the family's 1533-position model. The record is from RNAcentral.
UACGGAGGGGGCUAGCGUUGUUCGGAAUUACUGGGCGUAAAGCGCACGUAGGCGGAUGUGUCAGUCAGGGGUGAAAUCCCGGGGCUCAACCUCGGAACUGCCUUUGAUACAGCACGUCUCGAGUCCGGAAGAGGGUCGCGGAAUUCCCGGUUGUAGAGGUGAAAUUCGAUAGAUAUCGGGAGGAACACCAGUGGCGAAGGCGGCGACCUGGGCCGAUACUGACGCUGAAGGAGCGAAAGC